GCUGGCCAUGGAGGCACAUGCCUGUAAAUCCAUGCUGCUAGGGAGACUGAGGCUGGUAGAUCUCUGGAGCUUGGGAGCUCUGAGCUGCAGCAGGACUCAAGCCAAUCUGGUGACCGCACUAAGUCAGCCACCAGUAUGGUGAGCCUCCAGGAGUGGAGGGUCACCAGGUUGCCUAAAGAAGUAGUGAACUGACCCAAAUGAAUGAAGCAAGUCAAAAUUUUUGGGCCAAUCAGUAUUGAGAUUAAACCCCUCAGUGGAUACUUACUUCUAGCCUGGGCAAGAUAGUGAGUUCUUGUGUUGU
This 301-nucleotide signal recognition particle RNA is filed under the name Phascolarctos cinereus (koala). Its description in RNAcentral is "Metazoan signal recognition particle RNA (ENSPCIG00000024456.2)". It matches the Rfam family "Metazoan signal recognition particle RNA". From Rfam's summary of the family: The signal recognition particle (SRP) is a universally conserved ribonucleoprotein. It is involved in the co-translational targeting of proteins to membranes. Lineage: Eukaryota; Metazoa; Chordata; Mammalia; Diprotodontia; Phascolarctidae. The record is from Rfam by way of RNAcentral.